GCUCAGCCGUAAACCAAGGUAGUAUAAACACAACACUACCCGCCAGAGAACUACAAGUGAAAAACUUAAAACUCCAAGGACUUGGCGGUGCUCCACACCAACCUAGAGGAGCCUGUCCUAUAAUCGAUAAUCCACGUUACACCCUACCACCUUUUGCCCCCAGCCUAUAUACCGCCGUCGAAAGCCUACCUUCUGAAAGAAGCACAGUAGGCAAAACAGUUAUUAACUAACACGUCAGGUCAAGGUGUAGCACAUGAGGUGGAAGAGAUGGGCUACAUUUUCUGCCACAGAAAACACGAACAGCCUAAUGAAACUUAGGCCAAAAGGCGGAUUUAGCAGUAAGACAAACAAGAAGCCCUGUCUUAAACCCGCUCUGGAGCGCGC
This 384-nucleotide ribosomal RNA is filed under the name Plestiodon marginatus (Ryukyu five-lined skink). RNAcentral describes it as "partial 12S rRNA". It matches the Rfam family "Bacterial small subunit ribosomal RNA", at positions 794 to 1384 of the family's 1533-position model. The record is from RNAcentral. Lineage: Eukaryota; Metazoa; Chordata; Lepidosauria; Squamata; Scincidae.